GACGAACGCUGGCGGCGUGCUUAACACAUGCAAGUCGAACGGAAACGCCCUGCUUUUGUGGGGUGCUCGAGUGGCGAACGGGUGAGUAACACGUGAGUAACCUGCCCUUGACUUUGGGAUAACUUCAGGAAACUGGGGCUAAUACCGGAUAGGAGCUCCUGCUGCAUGGUGGGGGUUGGAAAGUUUCGGCGGUUGGGGAUGGACUCGCGGCUUAUCAGCUUGUUGGUGGGGUAGUGGCUUACCAAGGCUUUGACGGGUAGCCGGCCUGAGAGGGUGACCGGCCGCAUUGGGACUGAGAUACGGCCCAGACUCCUACGGGAGGCAGCAGUGGGGAAUAUUGCACAAUGGGCGGAAGCCUGAUGCAGCAACGCCGCGUGCGGGAUGACGGCCUUCGGGUUGUAAACCGCUUUCGCCUGUGACGAAGCGUGAGUGACGGUAAUGGGUAAAGAAGCACCGGCUAACUACGUG
RNAcentral lists this ribosomal RNA (468 nucleotides) under uncultured bacterium. RNAcentral describes it as "partial 16S ribosomal RNA". It matches the Rfam family "Bacterial small subunit ribosomal RNA", at positions 28 to 507 of the family's 1533-position model. The record is from RNAcentral.